Long non-coding RNA from Ctenopharyngodon idella (grass carp), 2057 nucleotides. RefSeq lists it as uncharacterized. The transcript is spliced from 2 exons. NCBI's taxonomy places the organism in Eukaryota, Metazoa, Chordata, Actinopteri, Cypriniformes, Xenocyprididae. The record is from RefSeq and is a predicted model, not a curated record.
CGUUUACUACACGAUUAAAAGCUGUAAAGAUCCCAAUAACAAUUCAAGCUACAAGUUAAUCCUAUUAUGCUAGAGGAUGUACAUGUGCAUUAAAGCUGUCUAAAGACCAAGAGUUUGUCUUACAUUGGACAUAUAACCUGUUACAUCCAAUCUGUAGGGCACUAUAUUAGGCAACCUGUAUGUAUCCUUUGGCUCAACCAAUGACUUUAGGCCAGGACUACAGUACCUGUUUGUCACUUUGGGUGGCGCAAUUACUUAUAGUGCUAUAAUAUAUAGUGUUUAACUGUUUAAAUACACACUGGAGCCCCAUCGAAUAAAUUUCCUGUUCAUCAGUGGUGUGUCUGUCUGUUCACACCGCCCUCUAGUGGCACAGUGAUGUAGUGCAAGAUUACAUGAAUGAAACUGUUGAAGGGUUUCUGUCAUCAGUACAGCUGUGAUCACCUGCGGUCUCGUACCUGCAGCCGAAUUACAGUCGAGCUGAUGAUCACUAAAGCACUUUUGCUCAUGUGAUUUUGCUUAGAUGAUGAUAAGUUUCAUCAACAUUUAAUUUUCACUGUUUUUUUCACAUGUGGUUUGAAUUGUUCUAAAUUUUAUGCUACAUUUUUAAAGUUUACACUUACUGGUAUGUCAUGAUUACAUGAUACAUAUUUGAUGUUGUGAUUGACAGGAUGAGAUGAACGAGCUCCUCCUGAACCUUCAUUUAGAGCCUCAUUUAAAUACAGAAUGAGUUCAUUUGCAUAUUGAUCAGAUGCUUCAGUGCUCUGAGAGUGUUUAUAGUGCUGUGAGUUUAACACUUCAUCACUGACACACACAACAAUCUUCAUCGACAUGACCUUCAUCAUCAUCUUCAUCUGGACUCUCACAGCGUUUGCUCAAGAGUGUAGAGGACAGAUCACCGUCACUCAGAGUCCCUCAAUGACAGCAGCUCAACCAGGACAAACUGUGAACAUCAACUGUAAAUCCAGCAGAGAUGUGUUCAGUGCUUCUUGGUCAAUAUACGCUCUCAGCUGGUACUUACAAAAACCUGGAGAAGCUCCUAAACUCCUGAUUUAUUUUGCAAACACCCUCCAGUCAGGAACUCCAUCUAGAUUCAGUGGCAGUGGAUCUAACAGUGAUUUCACUCUGACCAUCAGUGGAGUCCAGACUGAAGAUGCUGGACAUUAUUACUGUAUGAGUUACCAUUGCACAAGAGAGUAUGAUGGUACUUGUAGGAGUGAUGUAGCAUUCACACAGUGAUAAAGAGUCGUACAAAAACCUCCGUCAGUCAGAGUCACAGUGACUGAACUGAUACUGCAGCUGCUCACACACUUUCACACACUACUGACACACAGAGGACAAACACAGGAACUACACAUGUGCUCAAAACUGACUUAUGAGUGUCCACAGUCCAGCACAAAUAAAUAAAAUAAAAAUGUGAUAAUGUCCACCUCCAUCAGCAUCAUCAUCAAAAACAAGAGUAUAUAAGUGAAGUGAAUUGUGAUUUUUCUUGCUCAGUGACAAGCUGAGAAAGGAAAUGAUUUUAGGAACUAAACCUGUAAUGAGGUUAUUUAAAUGGACACAAUACCUGGCCAACAUAUAUAUGUGGGUCCCACAUGGUCUAAGCUUGGGCUACAUGGGUACCAAGUGGUCAAGGUCCUAAAAUGGGGGCCACUUGGGUCAAGUAGGUCCCACAUGGACAAAAACAGAUGGGCUCCAUAUGCGGGUCCUAAUGGGAAAUGAGUGCAUGGGCCCCAAAUGGGCAACACAAAUGGGUCAGACAUGGGCAAACACAAUCAGUCCAAUCCCAGCCAACAUGUCAUUGUGGGUCCCAUGUGGGUUUUUGAUGAGCUGUCACUUGUCACAGCUACACAUGGGCCCUGUGUAUGUCACCCUCAUGAUGGGUCCAUAGUGGCCCAUUUAGAUGUUUAAUAUAUGGGCCCACUUGGGUCUCAAAUGGCUGCUAAUAAUGGGACCACACAAAAACCUUAUCACACUGGACUCACAAAUGGCCCUAUAUUAUGUUCUUUUUUUCUCUUUCUUUUUUUUUCCUUUCUUUUUUUUUUUUUUUUUUUUUUUUU